Molecule: small RNA, 17 nt
Filed under: Arabidopsis thaliana (thale cress)
Lineage: Eukaryota; Viridiplantae; Streptophyta; Magnoliopsida; Brassicales; Brassicaceae
Description: ATSL227930
Source: RNAcentral
UUUUUCCUUUUUUUUUG